CCUACGGGAGGCAGCAGUGGGGAAUAUUGCACAAUGGGGGAAACCCUGAUGCAGCGACGCCGCGUGAAGGAAGAAGUAUUUCGGUAUGUAAACUUCUAUCAGCAGGGAAGAAAAUGACGGUACCUGACUAAGAAGCCCCGGCUAACUACGUGCCAGCAGCCGCGGUAAUACGUAGGGGGCAAGCGUUAUCCGGAUUUACUGGGUGUAAAGGGAGCGUAGACGGCGACGCAAGUCUGGAGUGAAAGCCCGGGGCCCAGCCCCGGGACUGCUCUGGAAACUGCGGCGCUGGAGUACGGGAGGGGCAGGCGGAAUUCCUGGUGUAGCGGUGAAAUGCGUAGAUAUCAGGAGGAACACCGGCGGCGAAGGCGGCCUGCUGGACCGUGACUGACGUUGAGGCUCAAGAGCGUGGGGAGCAAACAGGAUUAGAUACCCUAGUAGUC
Molecule: ribosomal RNA, 440 nt
Filed under: uncultured bacterium
Lineage: Bacteria
Description: partial 16S ribosomal RNA
Rfam family: Bacterial small subunit ribosomal RNA
Source: RNAcentral